CUCAGUCCCAGUGUGGCUGACCAUCCUCUCAGACCAGCUACCCGUAAGCCUUGGUGGGCCGUUACCUCACCAACUAGCUGAUAGGACAUGGGUCCAUCCUCAAGCGACAGGUCCUUGCGGAUCCCCGUCUUUAGAUAUCCUGUCAUGCGACAGGAGACCACAUUCGGUAUUAAUUCCACUUUCGCGGAGCUAUCCCCAACUUGAGGGCAGGUUACCCACGUAUUCCUCACCCU
Molecule: ribosomal RNA, 233 nt
Filed under: uncultured bacterium
Lineage: Bacteria
Description: 16S ribosomal RNA
Source: RNAcentral